CGGAGGGUGCGAGCGUUGUCCGGAAUCACUGGGCGUAAAGGGCGCGUAGGUGGCUUGGUAAGCGUGUGGUGAAAGCCUGGGGCUCAACCCCGGGUCGGCCAUGCGAACUGCCGAGCUUGAGCACUGUAGAGGCAGGCGGAAUUCCGGGUGUAGCGGUGGAAUGCGUAGAGAUCCGGAAGAACACCAGUGGCGAAGGCGGCCUGCUGGGCAGUUGCUGACACUGAGGCGCGACAGCGUGGGAGCAAACAGGAUU
This 253-nucleotide ribosomal RNA is filed under the name uncultured bacterium. RNAcentral's name for it is "partial 16S ribosomal RNA". It matches the Rfam family "Bacterial small subunit ribosomal RNA", at positions 526 to 779 of the family's 1533-position model. The record is from RNAcentral.